ACCUAUCCUUGGUCGUGCACCGACAAUGUUCAUACUGACAAUGUUGGGACGAUGCGGCUGCAUGGAGAGCAAGUUCAACCUCCGCAGCAAUGGUGGCCUGGUGCAAGUGCAGGCGUCGUUCCGUCAUGGGGCUCCAAUUGCCAGCUGCCGUCGUCCGUCCAGAUGCCACCCGAAAACCGUGAGCACCACGACCGUCCUGCUCCAGGUCCAGGUCACGGAGAGCAAGCUGAACAGCCGUUGCUAAUUGACGGCCUACGACUAGGAGAGUACGGGAAUCCUCAAGUUCAUGUUGCCUCACAACACGGCGAGCAAGCUCAUGAACCGUUGCAUCAAUGGCAGACUGCCAGCCAACCACAGGCACCUUACCGGAAUCGCCACGGUCUUGCUGCUUCGGAAUAACGUCCCCGCUGGCGUACAACCUUCUGCAAGAUUUAGAGUAGAGUAGAAUCUCUCGUGACAGGUUGGGAACUGUCAAUGCCUUGAGAAUACUUGAAUUUGCGUUUAUGUGUAUUUACACUAACUUAGAG
RNAcentral lists this long non-coding RNA (527 nucleotides) under Hordeum vulgare. RNAcentral's name for it is "long non-coding RNA (HVUL_LNC005430)". Lineage: Eukaryota; Viridiplantae; Streptophyta; Magnoliopsida; Poales; Poaceae. The record is from RNAcentral.